RNAcentral lists this long non-coding RNA (764 nucleotides) under Mustela putorius furo (domestic ferret). Its description in RNAcentral is "lncRNA (ENSMPUG00000031565.1)". The record is from RNAcentral. Lineage: Eukaryota; Metazoa; Chordata; Mammalia; Carnivora; Mustelidae.
GCCAGGCUUCCCUGGCUUCCUGCAGACAUGGGUGCCUGGCAGGCUGCCCUGCCCGUGUCCUUGCGAUCCCCAGUCCGACCCUGCGAUCUGGUGGGCUGUUCUGAUCCUGAGCUUUCUCGUGCGGGCGUGAAGGUGGCCUCCAUGUGGUCGGGCUGAUCGUGUCCUGUCCACAUGGGCCACUGAAUACGAUGAAGCGUGGACGGGGCUCUGAGCUCAGGGUCUGCUGGCUCCGGCAGAAGCCAGUUCAAGAUGGAAGGGGUCUGUCCUCACCAUAGUCCUGGCACGUGCUCGCCGGCUCACCGAGAUGCCCCGCAGCACCGUCCACGUGGCAGGCACCUGAGCAGGAGGGAGACUCUCUCUUGCCUUGGACCACAGCCUCCCAGUGCCCCGGACGCCUCAUCUGCGGAGCGGGGGCUCCGAUCUGGGAUGAAAACAUCAGAGUCCAAGUGACUUCCCGCGGGAAUCAUCAGCACAGAAUCCGGAUUCUGGCCCAGAAAUUGCCAUCUCCUGCCACGGUGACCUGAAGACUUUCACUUUGCAGAAAGGCACGCAGCCGAGGCCGCCGAUGCUGUGUCCACCAGACGGAGAGCGGUUUCCUCUCCCAGAUCUCCUCAUAGGAGCCCCGAUCCUGGGCAUGGGGGCUGAGCGCACGACCUAAUCACCUCCGAGGGCCAUCACAUCGGGCGCCAGCACCUGUGGACAAGCACCCCUGUUCUGUGAGUUUUGUGGGUCUGGGCCAUGUGGUGCUGUCCCGAAUGCCUCCC